This 900-nucleotide ribosomal RNA is filed under the name Lactarius aff. gerardii M.Christensen04-259. RNAcentral's name for it is "eukaryotic LSU rRNA". It matches the Rfam family "Eukaryotic large subunit ribosomal RNA", at positions 64 to 941 of the family's 3401-position model. Lineage: Eukaryota; Fungi; Basidiomycota; Agaricomycetes; Russulales; Russulaceae. The record is from RNAcentral.
ACUAACAAGGAUUCCCCUAGUAACUGCGAGUGAAGCGGGAAAAGCUCAAAUUUAAAAUCUGGCGGUCUUUGGCCAUCCGAGUUGUAAUUUAGAGAAGCGUCUUCCGCGCCGGACCGUGCACAAGUCUCCUGGAAUGGAGCGUCAUAGAGGGUGAGAAUCCCGUCUUUGGCAUGGACCCUCGGUGCUUCUGUGAUGCGCUCUCGAAGAGUCGAGUUGUUUGGGAAUGCAGCUCAAAAUGGGUGGUGAACUCCAUCUAAAGCUAAAUAUUGGCGAGAGACCGAUAGCGAACAAGUACCGUGAGGGAAAGAUGAAAAGCACUUUGGAAAGAGAGUGAAACAGUACGUGAAAUUGUUGAAAGGGAAACGCUUGAAGUCAGUCGCGUCGACCAAGACUCAGCCUUGCCUCGGCUCGGUGUACUUCUUGGCUGACGGGCCAGCAUCAAUUUCGUCCCUCGGAUAAUGGUGAGGGAAAGGUGGCACCCUUACGGGUGUGUUAUAGUCCCUUGUCGCAUGCGAGGGGUGGGAUUGAGGAACUCAGCACGCGCCUUUAGGUGUCGGGGCUUCGGCCCACGUUACGUGCUUAGGAUGUUGGCGUAAUGGCUUUAAACGACCCGUCUUGAAACACGGACCAAGGAGUCUAACAUACCCGCGAGUGUUCGGGUGGAAAACCCGUGUGCGUAAUGAAAGUAAAAGUUGGGACCUCUGUCGUGGAGGGCACCGACGCCCGGACCAGACCUUCUGUGACGGAUCUGCGGUAGAGCGUGUAUGUUGGGACCCGAAAGAUGGUGAACUAUGCCUGAAUAGGGUGAAGCCAGAGGAAACUCUGGUGGAGGCUCGUAGCGAUUCUGACGUGCAAAUCGAUCGUCAAAUUUGGGUAUAGGGGCGAAAGACUAAUCGAACC